UACGUAGGGUGCGAGCGUUAAUCGGAAUUACUGGGCGUAAAGCGUGCGCAGGCGGUUCGUUGUGUCGGUGGUGAAAUCCCCGGGCUUAACCUGGGAAUGGCCAUGGAAACUGGCGAACUGGAGUGCGGCAGAGGGGGGUGGAAUUCCGCGUGUAGCAGUGAAAUGCGCAGAUAUCGGGAAGAACACCCGUGGCGAAGGCGGCACUCUGGGACGGUACUGACGCUGAGACGCGAAAGCGUGGGGAGCGAACAGG
RNAcentral lists this ribosomal RNA (253 nucleotides) under uncultured bacterium. RNAcentral describes it as "partial 16S ribosomal RNA". It matches the Rfam family "Bacterial small subunit ribosomal RNA", at positions 524 to 776 of the family's 1533-position model. The record is from RNAcentral.